UCUCUCUCUCUCUCUCUAUCAAACAGAAGGCUUUGAGGCAGUUCUGCCUGUGACACACAUUAACACUGACACAGGGGCCUCCAGGCCUACUGCCACCCCCCUGCAAUGGCCUCCCUCCCUUUAUUACACUGCAGCUGAUAACACUGACAAUAUAGCUCUUUAGCCCUAAUCAAAGUACUUCUUUUUUUUUUUCAUGCGAUCAGAAUGCCUGGAAAAAUGUAUCGAUUUGACAUAUUUGUCUGUAUGGAUCGGAAUAAAAUCCAGGCCUGAAUGAAAGAGAACUCUUCACCAUGUUGUGUUGUACCCUUACAUUUUAUUAACAAAGACUGCAUAAUUACAAUUACAGAGACAGAUUUCAUUUUUAACAUUAGUUGAUUACAAGCCAAAAAAAAAAAAAAAAAAAAUUGUAAUGCAAGUCUGUGUCUCUCAAAUUCAGAAAUAAAACUCAGAACAUGUGAAAUUGGGACAUGUGCAGUAAGAGCAGAAGGAAAUUCUCAUACUCAAUACCAUUUCACAGAAAGCAAUUAAACUGGAUCCACCAAAAGCUAGUGAGAAUUCAGUAAGCGAGUAAGAGAAACCAGAUGGAUUCCACCCCAUGUGAACAGUGUGCUAACUGCAAUAUAUUCCAUAUAGUUAGUAAAGGCUUGGUUACAGAUAGCAUAUGUUUUCAGUAGUACCAAAAAAAAAAAAAAAAAAAAAAAAGGAGUGCCCAUUUUGAAAAGCUGAUAACUAACCUAUUCAAUAAUGAAGCCUGUAUGUAAUAGUCUGACAUGACGAUAUGUUAAAAAUACGUGUUAGCAUGAAAUACUAGCGAUGGCCAAUGGGUCUGAAUGAUUUAGGAGAUCAUUUUUAAGUAUUGUCACCAUUAAACAACAAACGGGUGAUGUCAGAGGUCUUGAUGAAGCGCUGUAAUGGAAAGAGUAAGCCUUGGCAGAUUGUUUUUACAGCCGUAUGAAUGAUUAUUGUGCACAAGUGUGCAAAAAAAAAAAAAAAUAUCAGAUGUUCCAUUUAAAAAAAAAAAAAGCAGAAGCUGGAAACAAGACAGUGGUUGUAAUACAUCCUGCAUGAUAUACGAUCAAGACCAUAUUGAGGAGUUACAGAGUGACGGUAUAGACAGGCCUGACGUUUACAUUAAUGUUCCUGUUUAAGAGGAACAGCAUGCCAUUGUAAUGUUGUGUAAUCCCCCUUUUUCAGCUCUCUUCCAUCACACGUUCUAUAUAAAAAAAAAAUCUUGCAAAACAUGCAAAGCUUUAAGCCGUUCGAUUGCGUUUCAACAUACCUCUUGCAAACCGUUAAAGAACCAACCAUUUCUAGGUGACUUUGAUAGUAUUAAAGGACAGCCCAAGAAGUGUUGGGAAUGGGAAUGAAUAAUUGGAAUGGCCAGUUUUAAGAUACUUUAGUUCUCAGUUCACCUCAAGUAGUGGAGAUUAAAUAGGAAUUAAUCCCUGGUCUCUGGUCAGGACAUUCAGAUAAGGAUACAUAUGUACAAGCGAUGCGUGUUUUCUGUGCAGACGAUGAAACCAAAGCAAGGUUUUUAUUUGGCCUUCUCCUGUGCCACUGGCUCCGUUUGCACUCCGGCAUCAGAGUGGCGUUUUUGACCCUGAGAAACAAUCAAAAGGCACAAACAGAUGGAGACUUAGUUUCAUUAUUUGCGUUCGGUAAGUUUCACAGCCUUGAGCACAACUGAUCGCAACCUGUCUGACAACUGGAUUCUUAUUUAAAUAAGCUUCCUUUAUGCAUCGAGCUCAAACAUGUCCUCACUGAAGCUCACUGCUAGCACUACGACUAAUAUAUUUAGUUCCCGUAGUGUACUAUCUUGGCUACUGUGUACUUCUCAAUUGACUUAAUAUAAAGAUGAGAAAACAUAAAGAUAGACUCAACAUGUGGACCUUUUGGCAAUGUACUAAAAUACGACUGCUGUUCUGCUGCUCUCUUGAGAUACCACUACCAUUUACAAGUAUUAUUAUUAUUAUUAUUAUUAUUAUUAUUAUUAUUAUUAUUAUUACCGUAAACAACUUAGAACAAUGUGUAGAGGAAUCCGUGUAUUAUUAAGACCUUUUUUGGAAGAGUACUAACAAUAAUGUAUGAGCUUACAAGUCUAUUUUUGCCAUCUGAGCUCACCUAGUGGUUAGAGCUUGUCACUGUUGGUCAGACACAACAUGAAACAAGUCUGAAAGAAGUGUCUCGAAAGAAGUGACUCAUUUUUUUUUUUUUUUUUUUUUUUUAGAACAUUUCAGAAUGCUGGGUAAAGGUUGUUGUUUUUUUAUUUUUUUUUUUUUUUAUCUUAACCAGAUAUAAACCCAGUCAAUAAUGCUCAACACAGAGUACGUAAUAUUAAAUUACACCUCAGCAUUGUUGAAUGCUCAAUUCUGAUUGGUCAAAAUAUAACGCUCUCAUUCUGAUGUUAUUGUUUUCUACAGUAACUAUAUAUCUGACUUGACAUUAACUUCAAUAAAAGAGAAACUGUUAACGACAGGAACAAACUAGAAAUGAAAUAAAAAAAAUAUCAUUCUUUUAUGAAUAAACGUUGUAAAUGUCUGCAAAUUGUUGUGGUAUAUCACUUUUUUUUUUUUUUUUAACAACUUUGCCAAAUCAACUUUGGCACGUCACAUCACUCUGUCAUUGAUUAUUUUCCUCUAAUAACAAACCCCGUUAUGUUUUAUUCCUUACUUAAGUAAGGCCAUGUUAUUAUAAGGCAGUUAAGUAAUAUAAAAGUCAGUAAAGACUAUACUGUUAUUGCAAUACCUUAUGAAAUUUCUUUAAAGGAAUGUACAAUACUGUGAUAUAAAUAUAAAAUAUCGCAAUAUAAAUGACUAGUCCGUCCAUUCUGGAGUAAGUCUUAAAGGUUCUACAUAAAACCGUUCAAUAGAGUGUUUCCUAUCAGAUAAGGUUCUAAGUAAAGUUGAAAAGCUCUUAAGAAUGCUGGAGAAGCCUUUAUUUAUGUAAAGCGUCUGCAAAAACAAGCAGAUCUUUUCAUUCUUGAUAUGUGCACAAUUCAUUCACUUUUAAAAAAUAAUUUUUACUCUUAUACUGUCCUUAAUAUAAUGUGCUAUCAUUUCUAUGUCCGUGUCGCUGUAAUUGAUCUGUCAUUUGGAAACGGUUACGCAAUGCCUGACUUCCACCUUUAACAUAUCCGACUACUUGUUAGGGUUAUUUUCAGUUUACCAAGCUUUUAAAGAACAGAUGGAUGGAGUUCCUCUUCUCUAGUUUGCGGGAGGUGCUGGGUGAAGAAUUAUCUGUACUCCCCACCGACUUGUUGUCUGGAGAGGCCGCAGCAGGAGCAGCAGCAACAGCUGCUGGUUUGGGCUCUUCUUUGGCCUUGGUGCUUGGGGUAGCCUCUGCAGGUGCAGUGGGGGCUGUAGGGGCUUCCUUCUUGGACUCUGCAGCCUUGUGGAAUAUAAAUAAACUAAAUAAAUAAAUUAAACUUUUAAAUGGCAUAUUAUUUUAUUUCACAAACUCCAUGGCUUAUGUUAUCUACAACGCAAAGGCUUUGAAAAGAUGAGAGAACAAGAGCACAGAGCAAAAAGGAAUUAAUGUGAUUUUAAAAUAAAUAAAUAAAUAAAUAAAAAGGUCAAGGGGUGUGUCUCGAUCAGCUUCUUAGCUCCCUAGGUCAGUGGUUUUCAAAGUGGGGGCCGCAGCCCCCGCCACAGGGCGCCCGGGGGGGCUCAACAAUUUGGUGUGAAAAAUAAAUUCUCACUCUCAGACCACACACACACACAAUCAAAUUCUAAUGUAAUGUAAUGUAAAGAUGUAAGAUGUAAUUAUUAAUUAAAAAGGGGGGGGGGGGAUAUAUUCAGAAGUCUGUAUUUUUUAUGUGUUUUAAAGACAUCUUGCAAAAGGGGGCCUCGGUCAAAUGUUAAUGCCAUUUGGGGGGCCUUGCCCUGGAAAAGUUUGGGAACCCCUGCCCUAGGUCAUGAAUCAGUAUAUUGUGUACAUGAGUUCGGACACUGGUAAGGACCCUGGCUCACUACACAUUGGGACACUGAUGACUCAAUUUCAGGCGACAUGGCUACGUUGUAAAACGUCACCACUGGCAUUUAUCAACAACAUGCAGGACUGAUAUUAUUCUGACAUUAUAUGGCAUAAAUUUGUUCGCUUAAUCACACACAUUUCUGUUAUGCUGCUUCAAGCAGGAUCGUAGCCCAGCUAGUGGAUUUUUAAAAAUCAUUAAACACUUAAAAGUUAUUAGACUCAAACAAACCGUACAGAGAACGUCAAAUAAAGUUAAAAAUGCCUACGCGAACAUAAGUAAUCAUUUGAGAGCUACAACAACGACAACAAGCUACUUACAAUUGUAGACGAAGUUGUCUGAGACUUCAUCUGCAUUUUUUUUGUUGUUGUUGUUGUUUUUAGCUGAGAAGCUUCAGAAAACAUGAUGUCAUUUUCAGUAAGGAACAUAGUGAGCAUCGAUGGCCCCUAGUUUUUGCGGUGCAUCGUGGGAUUUUUACGGAAUGAACGUCCCAGCGCACUGGAAGGAUUUUGCGAUCAAGACAGCCCUUAAAAUGGCCGACUCCCUGAUCAGUGUCUGGAUUACUGAACUAGGGGGCUGAUUGAGACGCACCCAAGGAAAAGCCAUUGCUAUGACAAGAUAGCUUUGCAUCAGGAACAGGGUUAUUGGUAAGGCAUAAAAAGUGUAAAACGUGACCUGCUUUGUGUUAUAAUACAAGAAUCCACAUACAACAUAAUUAUGCUAACGUUUGAGUCAAAAAUCAAGCAACUGACAAUAAUAACGAGCCACAAAAUCAAAUCAGGAGUUAAUCUGACCACUUUUUGUUUUUUAGUUCAGUCAGUGUUAACAAACAAAAAUUGCCACAAGAUACUGGGAAUUUACCGCUCCUCCAGCACCAAGGGAGAUGCUGGCUGCGGCACUCGAAGCAGCUGAAUGGAUCUUAGAGCUCACUUGGCCUAGCAGUACCUCAAAUUCAUACAAGUCAUUUUUACUACAUGCAAUCACUCAUACCACAUGUUUGAUAAGCUCUAGAGUAUUGCAUCUAACUCCAAGUGUAUUUACCUUUGGUUUGAGCAAGUUGGCGAAAGGUGAGGGCUUCUUCUCUGCUUUCUUUUCUUCUGGUUUGGGUGCUGGAGCGGGUUCGGGUUUGGCGCCGGCCUCAAGGGUGCUGGUCUUGGACGCAUCUACCUUAAAGAGGGUGCAGCAGAAAGCUUGAAUAUGAUAAGAAACACGACUCAUGAAGAAGGAAAUGAAUGAGAGGAGAUAGAAAAGAGGAACAAUGGGGGAAAGGUUAACAGCAGUAUUGCAAGAGGAAGCACUGAAGCAAUGAAAUUGGAACAAAAAGGAACAUGACUGGAAUGAAAGAUGCCAUCUGAAUUUCCUAUAGAACAAAGACCCAUAUUCAGAAGAUAGCCCAAAAAGGACACGGAGAAGCUUUCAAGAAGGUAUCAGUAUGAUCAGCUGUCAGCAGCUGAUCAUAUUGAAACAGUGCUGAACUUAUUUACCUGUAUCUCAACUGGCUUUGCUUCCUCUAUCACCCCAGACUGUAGGCAAGCAGAUAUUUGGAUUAACUAGGCAUGAAUCUACAAUACCCAAGAGCAUUCUCUUCAGUCUCACAAGAACACUAACUAAGCUGUUUGGAAUACAAUGCCUCCGUAUCAAUAAAUGUGAUGUCAUUAUUAAGUGAAAUGAGACGGACUCAAUAAAACCCAAAGCUCAUGGUUUAGUUGGCUGACAGUGAUAAUACAGUAUGAGGUAAUGGCUGCUGUCAGAAUGAUGUCACUGCAAUGAAGGCUCAGCUGUUUAUUCAUUAUCAUGGGUGGGUUUUUUUACGUCUCGUUGUUAUGGCACAGUAUAGACUCUGUUCACUGAAUAUCACUAAGGCCUAUAGGAAUGAGAUUGCAAUAACAAAUGUCUCCAAUUCGAUUAUAGGUAUAACACCAGCAAGCGGCAAAUAAUCAUAAU
Long non-coding RNA from Ictalurus punctatus (channel catfish), 5914 nucleotides. The record is from Ensembl. Lineage: Eukaryota; Metazoa; Chordata; Actinopteri; Siluriformes; Ictaluridae.